AUUGUUAUACAAAUCGCCAAGCGAAGGCAUCUCUCUCUACUUGUGUUUUGCUGUGGUGCUAAAUCUGUGCCCAAGGACCCCUGCUUGCCUUGCUUAUGCUUCGUAGCAGCUUCUAUGUAUGAAGUGUUUACCAUGCGUAAUGCAUGCGUAUAAUGAUUAUCCAAAUGCGUUGAGCAAAGUGCAGUUCUUUGCUGCCUCCAAGUUCAUCACCUGACUGGACUUCUGCAAUUUGAUUGGUCAAGACGGAAUUCCGUCUUGGCACAUAAAACGAUGACAAGAGUGCUCAGACGGUGGUUCCAAAAGAACGGCGGCUGAUUCAUGAGACUACACCUGGAACAGUGCAUGGGCACCAACGAUCGCUAUAUCUUCGUAAGAGAAAGACAGUCACAGCAGAAAGAUGAGUGGAUUAUAUCUUAUAUGUGCAUGUGUGCAUGUGUGCAUUGAACCAUUAUCAUUACAAGACACCGUUGGGGCAUAGACCUAAGAAUAGUCCCUUGGUCAAUUAUUAUGGCUACACAUAAAUGCCUAUGUUGCAUGCUUGUAAGGAAAGGUACCCACGUGGUGCUUAUACCAUGCGGUUUCAUUGAAAUUAUAUAUAUACAUCAUCUGUGGAUUUUGGCCCAAAAGGAAUCAAUUGUCUUGAUUGAUUUCCUUAAGAAUGCUCAAAGAUACGUGUACCGUAUACUAGGAGCCUAGAGAGAAGGAGUGGCUAACUACGGGGAUCACAUUUCGAACCCUGGUGAUCUGAGCAGUGCUGAGAUUGGUCAAUUCUCCCGACUGGACAUUGACCCCUCCACCAUCACCUGGAACAGGGUCAUGGAUACCAAUGAUCGCUAUCUCUGUAAGAUUACCAUCGGUCAGAGCAAGACUGAUCUGAAAGGUCACAGCAGAGAGGUGAGUGGAUUAUUAUGCCUCGGUGCGCAUGCGCAAGCGAGGUAUACGGUAGUAUAGUGUGUCUGUGUGUCUGUGUGUGUAGACUGCUACAGCUGCUCAAGGAUGAAUCAAGUGCAAGUAAGAGUUUCUAUAGGCUUCUAGUCAUGUUUACUUGGAUUUUAAUUCGUGGAUUUGCAAAAUAAUGCUUCGUUCUCGAGUUAUGCCUAGUUUUGCUUACUUGGAAUGCCAUUGCAGCCUUUUCAGAAGAGCACGUAGCCAAACUUGUUUACCGAGUGUUACUACUCUACUUAGUAGUUAGCUCUGCACUAGAACGCUAGCUAUUGGUAGCUGCAAGAGUGAGGAAGAGAGCUGCAAGGCUCUGUUGAUGGCAGCCAUUAAUUUUAGACUUGAACUUUUGGCAUCGAUCGUUUUUAACAACAAUCAUGGUCGAUCAUUACCCACUCUUUGAGUCUGCAUGGCAGCAAAAUAAUUAUUGCAAAAAUGUUCAUCAGUAUAAAAGCUAUUAGUAGCUUCAUGUUAUGUAUAGCUUUGGCAUCUCCACCGAGGCAUCAGCACCUGUGGUGCUUUCAUUUUAUCCAGCAUACCUUAAGUUUAUACACACACUGACAACCCACAGUUUAUCUUUCAGUAUACCCACCAUUAUCAAUACAGGAUACCCCAGGCACCACUUCAUAGUAUAGGGCAUGCAUGCACCCCUUUAAACCUAGCCUGGGUUCCCCUCUGCAGUGGCAGAUCCAGGGGGAGAUCCAAGGGAGCAAAGGAACCCCCCUCAGUUUGCUCAAAAUGGUUUUACAGUCAUUUACAGUCAUAUUCUACUGAUGUACUAAGGUCAAUACCUGCAUGCAGAACGAACAGAAGCUAGCUAAAACCAGUGGCAGCUUCUUCUUCUUUCUCAACUGGAUCGCUUCGCAAAUAAUUAUGCCGAAUAGCAGCAAAAUUGAGGGAAGCUCCUAGUUGGGCGUGGCCCCGACCAUCCCUGACAGGAGGAGGUCGUGUUUCAAGCCUAUCUGGGAUUUGUCUUUGCUGCAACUAUAGUUGCAGCCCAAUCAGAUUGCAGCAUUUCUAAUGUGGUCAGCGUCACGUCCGGUUGCGCAACUGCAAGCAAGGUAAAAUUGGUUAACACCCACGUCAGAAUAAGAAUAUUCAUAGCUGCUAUCAAAUAUUCAUAGCUGCUUAUCAGCGUGUUACAAUAAUCCAGCAAGACAAAUUCUGACAUAGGGUUGAAACCCGACGUCCCGUCAGGGACCGUCAGGCCACACCCAACUAGAAAACUCCCUGAACAGAGAUGGGGAUUUCCCAUAUCCAUGUGGUCCAUUCAGCCAGCACUCGACUCCUGGCCAGACUUAACCUUGAGACCAGGCCGAUUAAAACGUAUUUUAAUCGGCCUGGAUUCGAGGCUAGGCCAGACUAUAUAAACUUAGACUCUAUAUAGGAGGGAAGGAUUGGCAACGGAAGUGGUUCACGUGAUCAUUUUACAUGUGUUUCUGCAGUUUUGUAAUGAAACCAUCCGUGACUCGCCUGUUUUCCUGCCAGAAUGCCCGCGAAAAGCAGAAAAAGUCUGUUAUGGUCUUCCUUUAGUGCCUCAUGACCUCUCAUGGUGUUACACUGAUGUUGUGCUUUAUUUAGAGUUAGAUUAUCUUGCCAGUUUGUAAAACUAAAGAAACAAAGACUUUUUACUACAGAAAAACUACAAUUUUACAAGUCAUACUAUUAGAUCUUCAUCGUACUAUCAGUAUGCUGGAAGAAAUUUAUGAAGCUGAAGAAGGAAGAGUUGAUUGACUAUUUUGGGCUACAUAUUAAAAAACGAAAUGAAAGACUUUGUUACAUGCAAAAGACCUGUACAGUUGUAUAGCACCAACUCUACCUCAUGCAGUAGCAGCAGUAGCAGUUCAUUAUGCAGCUUAUUAUGGCAGUUUAUAUGACUUGUGAAAUGUUGAUAAUUUAUUAAAAUUUGGUAUUAAUAAAAUGUCGUACAGAA
Halichondria panicea is the source of this 2872-nucleotide long non-coding RNA. RefSeq lists it as uncharacterized. NCBI's taxonomy places the organism in Eukaryota, Metazoa, Porifera, Demospongiae, Suberitida, Halichondriidae. The transcript is spliced from 3 exons. The record is from RefSeq and is a predicted model, not a curated record.